This 1400-nucleotide ribosomal RNA is filed under the name uncultured bacterium. Its description in RNAcentral is "bacterial SSU rRNA". It matches the Rfam family "Bacterial small subunit ribosomal RNA". The record is from RNAcentral.
GAGUUUGAUCAUGGCUCAGGAUGAACGCUGGCUACAGGCUUAACACAUGCAAGUCGAGGGGAAACGACGGGGAAGCUUGCUUCCUUGGGCGUCGACCGGCGCACGGGUGAGUAACGCGUAUCCAACCUGCCUCUGACUGAGGGAUAACCCGUCGAAAGUCGGCCUAAUACCUCAUGGCAUCGUCUGCGGGCAUCCAACGACGAUUAAAGAUUUCAUCGGUCAGGGAUGGGGAUACGUCUGAUUAGCUUGUUGGCGGGGUAACGGCCCACCAAGGCUACGAUCAGUAGGGGUUCUGAGAGGAAGGUCCCCCACAUUGGAACUGAGACACGGUCCAAACUCCUACGGGAGGCAGCAGUGAGGAAUAUUGGUCAAUGGGCGGGAGCCUGAACCAGCCAAGUAGCGUGCAGGAAGACGGCCCUAUGGGUUGUAAACUGCUUUUAUGCGGGGAUAAAGUGAGGGACGUGUCCUUCAUUGCAGGUACCGCAUGAAUAAGGACCGGCUAAUUCCGUGCCAGCAGCCGCGGUAAUACGGAAGGUCCGGGCGUUAUCCGGAUUUAUUGGGUUUAAAGGGAGCGUAGGCCGUGGAUUAAGCGUGUUGUGAAAUGCAGGUGCUCAACGUCUGCACUGCAGCGCGAACUGGUCCACUUGAGUGUGCACAACGCAGGCGGAAUUCGUCGUGUAACGGUGAAAUGCUUAGAUACGACGAAAAACUCCGAUUGCGAAGGCAGCUUGCGGGGAGCACAACUGACGCUGAAGCUCGAAAGUGCGGGUAUCGAACACGAUUAGAUACCGUGGUAGUCCGCACGGUAAACAAUGGAUGCCCGUUGUCAGGCUGUUUCAGCCUGGUGACCAAGCGAAAGCAUUAAGCAUCCCACCUGGGGGAGUACGCCGGCAACGGUGAAACUCAAAGGAAUUGACGGGGGCCCGCACAAGCGGAGGAACAUGUGGUUCAAUUCGAUGAUACGCGAGGAACCUUACCCGGGCUUGAAUUGCAGAUGAAGGCUUCAGAGAUGAAGCGGCCCUUCGGGGCGUCUGUGAAGGUGCUGCAUGGUUGUCGUCAGCUCGUGCCGUGAGGUGUCGGCUUAAGUGCCAUAACGAGCGCAACCCCUUUCUUCAGUUGCCAUCAGGUGAUGCUGGGCACUCUGGAGACACCGCCACCGCAAGGUGUGAGGAAGGUGGGGAUGACGUCAAAUCAGCACGGCCCUUACGUCCGGGGCUACACACGUGUUACAAUGGCCGGUACAGAGAGUUGAUUUUGUGCAAACACGAUCUAAUCCUUAAAUCCGGUCCCAGUUCGGACUGGGGUCUGCAACCCGACCCCACGAAGCUGGAUUCGCUAGUAAUCGCGCAUCAGCCAUGGCGCGGUGAAUACGUUCCCGGGCCUUGCACACACCGCCCGUC